Panthera pardus (leopard) is the source of this 129-nucleotide small nucleolar RNA. Lineage: Eukaryota; Metazoa; Chordata; Mammalia; Carnivora; Felidae. The record is from Ensembl.
AGGUCAUUUUAAUGGGGGCUUGUGGGCUGUGCAACCUGGGGCUCUAGCAGGUCUUUGUGACCAAAGACCAAAGUUCUGUGCAGGAUGGCACAGAAUUCAACAGUGUUGUUUUUCCAAGGAGAUGUGUGG